AGUAGGAAACCUCUAAAGAUCCUCACACACUAGUGUAGUGAGAAGGAUGAAGGAAUAACCAAAAGGGUGUAAGAGAUGUUAGUAAAAACUCCCCUUUGGUGGCCGGCUUUUGUGGUUCAAGAGAGCUAUUUUCUUUUGCCUCUUUUGUUGUUCAAAACUCACAAAAACCCUAAUGAACAAUAUCUUAUAAAGUUGCUUAUAUAGACAAAAAGAAAACCUAGUCAACACUUGACUAAAUAUCUCUCCAAAACCCACAUAAUAUGGCCGGCCCUCUUGUGUUGUUUUUGGGCUUUGGGCUUUUAUUAUUUCAAGUCAUCCAAUGCUUGAAUAAAAGCCCAAUGGGUUUAGGCCCAAUGGGCCUAAUUAAACCCGAACGUUUCUUUAAGCCCAAAACGAUCUUUAUCGCUUUUAUGAAUUUCUUUAGACUUUUCUAAAUUAAAUCACACACAUAAUUAAUCCAAUUAAUUGUUCUCCAUCAUCCAUUAAUUACUCACUACAAUAGUGUAUUGGUGAACAACCUUUUAGGUUCUAAUUAGCAAGGCAGUGAGGUGAUUAGCAUUAAUCCAAUUGCUUAUAUUUAAUUCAAUCACUUAGUGAAUUAAAACCUCAUUUUAAUUCACCUUUCUUCUUUGACGACUACAUCUAAUCAUCUAGAAGAACUCACAACCUAUGAGUGACAUCUAACCAUAUGUCAUAGCUACCCAAGCUAAUGUAGAAGUUUAUUCGGAGAACCUAGUCAGUUGGAAUUACAAUGUAAUUCAAUCAUUCUCUAAUACAAUACUCUCAAUCACAUCAUUAGGGUAUGGAUAUAUCAUGUCAAACCCCUAAUGUGAUUAUUCCUUCUUAUAUGAUCCAAUUGAGUCGUUUAGGAACGCUUUCCUUUAUUACGCUCGAUACUUCGGCCGAAGAUUCCCGAAAUCAUAUCUUAGAGUAUUCUUCCUCUCUUAUCGAGGAUUAGAGAUUCCUUGUUGCGCAUACACUUGCCUUCAUGACUAAGUGGCUUAACCCCAAUUAUGUCGUGGACACCCUCGAAUGGGGAGACUUUGACAUAAUCAAAGAUUAAGUACUUAACCACAAGACAACGACGAUGCCUCAGGUCUAAGGAUUACUUACAUCUUUCCAACCAUUAGAGUUACUUGCUUGACAUGUGAGUAGACCUCCAUGCAAGUACUCCCGUUCGAUUAUGUUCAGUGAACUCAUUCCCUUAAUGAGCACCUACAUACUUGUCUUAGUGUCACAACACGAAUGGGAUGAGACUUUCCAUUCUUCCAAUUGAAGCAGACAUAGUAUGUACCGGUCUACGCAUUGUCAGUAUCCCUCCGACAAUCCAAUGACCAGGAACCUUUUUGGACAUCUGUUUAUGUGAAGAAGGUCUCUGUAGUCUUAACAUCAUUAGAUUACUUCUUCAAUCGAUCCAUUGUCCAUGGAUUCACUAUUCAGGACAUAUUUCGUUUAUUGAGAUAGUCCUAAUUAGUAUCUUUGCCAUUUGAUGUAUAAGAAUCAUCCAUACAUCGAUUCAUUUGUCCUGAAAGAUUUCUUCCAAAGAUUGACUUUCAGGGCAUAUUUCCAACAAUCUCCCACUUGCACUAAAGUCAAUCACUAGUGUAUCUCAUACAUCUUGUCGAGAGAGUUUAUGCUCGUAGGUUAACUUGGUUAUGUAUUAAUCUCUUUUAUUAAAAGAGAUUUACUUAUCAAAUGUUUCCAAGACAUUUGAUGAUGUCUCUUUAAUGUGUUCGAAUACUUUGAUGAGACCUUGAUUCCAUGGCUUGAGCUAUCGCCCCAUUACGUCGUAGUACUCUACUAACGACCUUAUGGUUUGGAUUCAAUCAUGGGUUCUAAAGAACCCCUUUCAUUCAAAACACCCUUUUGAAGCAGUUUCUAAAACUAUAUAUCGACAUAUAUUUCGUUUGUAUACUUUAUACAAACUUUGCUCCAAGCUUGAGACCAUUGUAGUACAAUACUAACAAUUCAUUCAUAUGAUUAGUACUUCAUCCAUCAUGAAGUUCCAUUUGUUAAAAUGGCUUAUUUUCACUUUGGUUAACAACCUAAGUGAAUGCACGCUUCCAGAGUCCCACUCUGAUGUUUCUUUCUUAAAGGCAAUAAUACUCUAUAAGUUGCUUUUGGUUCUGAUCCUGGGAUAUAUAGUAAUAUCUUAAAGUGACAAACUCAGUGGUUUCUUCACCUUUGGAUAUCUACUUCACAAGUCAACAUAUGUGUCCCUUUUGUGAUUUUAUGACACAUUCAUUAUAAGGGCUGUGAAAGUGAUUUCUUAUCACAUAGGAAAAUGCUUUCUUAAAUCUUCAACAUUUGAGAUUUAAUUCCCAUAUAACAUUAUUGAGAUAGCCUUGCUAUAUCAGUAAGUCCAAUUUCAAGUCUAUACUUCAAAAUUGACCGUGUCAUGUUUUGUCAUUUUCGAGUAACAUCUAUGUUUCAUCAAGUCUAUCAAAUAGACUUUAUUCACAUCUUGUUGCUCAAAUUAUGACAUCACUCCCACUGGCCUUGUUGUAACUUAGCAUUCAUUCAAAAUUAACACUUAUAUUUUCUUGAUUUGAAUGCGUGUUGCUCCCACUAACUUGUCUUGGAUCCAUUGAGAAUUAUUGAGAUCCAUUAGCUUAUUGAUGAUGUUCUCAACAAUUUUGAGACCAUCAACAACCCUAGUUAACACAAGUUAUUUAAAUGAAUCACAUACAAAAGAAUUCCUUCUAAAGUAAUUCCUUUUGAAUAUGUGACUUGUUUUAUCAAGUCUAUUCAUUUAAUUAUACGAUGUCAUACACCAUACUAAAAGUUUUAGUCAUACUAAGACCUUUAAUGUAGUCAUAUAAGAAUUAUCUAAUUCCUUAGUGGAAGUAUGGCUCCUACUAAGGAUAUAGAUUCUCAACCAUUCCUUCUAGGUGGUUGAUAUAAUUCUCUAUCAAAACUACAUAGAGCAAUAUCGUUACAUGAGAUGUUGAAUUUGGAUUGUCGGGUUGUUAAACCAUAUGUUGUGACUCAUUUUUGAAACUUAUUCCCUUUUGUUUCAUCAACUUGUCCAUAUGCUUUGUUAUUAGCAUGUUCUCAUAAAAGAGAAUGAUGGACAACUCCCAACAUAUAACCAUUUUAUGCUAGGUUGACGAAACCAACAUUCAAAGACUAUUCUUUAAAUGUUACACAACAUAGAUUUUUAACGUUUGAAGAGCUUGAGUCCUUUUAACAAUUAAAAUUACAAACUCUUAAUAAUAGUCAAGUACUAUUAUUCUUUAGAUAACUAUAAACCAAUCACAUUCAAGUUUAUAUCCAUUUUCACACCUCCCACUAUUUCUCAUGACUUUAAUGAGAAAUCAUUUCAUUCAUUCAAAAUGUAUAAAAUUGGAUUAUAUUGGUAGAAGACAUUGUGUAGUAGCUUUGAAACAUUUCAAGCUUAUUUGUUUCAAUCUUCACUAAGUUUAAUGUCUUGUUAUUUAAGUGACUAAAGUCUUUAAACCUUUUAUAGAUUUAGACACUUCUUUCUUGGUUUAAUUACUAACACCAUUGACAUUUUAAAACAAUUUUAAGAAUGCCCAAUUAAUUGUUCAAAACUACUAAUUGAAUCAAGAGUAAUCUUGAUCAUUGUGUUUCAAGUGAUAACCAUAUAAGAAACGUUUUUCUUAUUACUUAUAUCAUUGUAAAUGUGAUCUUUCCUUUUCUUCAAGAAAGGAUUCUCUAGACUUUUGUCAAUUCAUAUAGAACUCAUAAGUAGACAAAUGGAACCAAAUCUAAAGAUUCAUUGUAUCCUUUUAUGUCUUACAUGUAAGAUCUAUCCAUAAUUGAUAAAUCUAAAGUUUAGUUUAUCACAUUACAAUUAAGUGAUAUAACUCUUGUAUCUCAUCUAGGAUACAACAAGACAAUUUUCAAUUCAUAACACUACUUUAAGGAAAUAGUAUAUUAAAAAGGCAUACUUCACAUUACAUUAAUAUGAUAGUUCAAACAUUCAUAAUGUUUAAUACAAAAGGUAUUAGCUCUAUACAUUUAGAGACUAAUAUAAAUGCCUUUAUACAUUUAGGCACUAAUAAUGGCCUUCCAUCAAAUGAAGCCAUAUAAUUAGUUCUUAACAAAAUAAGAAAGUUUAAAGACAAUCUUUAAAUGCCUAACAAACUUCCUAAGUAGUAAGCAAAAAAACAUGGUGGCCGAACUCUUCUCCACACUUUUCCUUGCUUGUUCCUCCUCUUCUACUUGGCUCCUCCACCUAUAUACAAUUAUACAAGUGAUUAGCCCUUUAUAUAUCAAAUAUAAAUAUUUAGAAGAUCUAACAAUUAGAAUUGAAGAUAAGAACACAAACCAUACCUUGUGGCUUGUCCUUAAGAGUUGCAAGGUAUAACCUGCAAUUCCUCUUCCAAUGCCCCUCCUUUCCACAGUGGUGGCAAGUCCCUUUGGGCUCCAUUGCCUUCUUUUUCCUCACUCCUCCUUUCGGCUUAGGAGUGGGGGACUUCUUCUCCUUCCCUUUGCCUUUGCCUUGCGGCUUGGCCUUGGAAGAGGAUGGCUUAUUGUAGGCUACUGCAGCAGUCCCUACAACGUUCUCUUUCUUCAUAGUCUUCUCGGCGGUUACUAACAUGUUUAGUAACUCGGAGAGAGUGCUAUCCAUCUUAUUCAUGUUGUAGUUCAUUACGAACUGCGAGAAUGAAUCAGAAAGAGAAGCCAAUAUGAAGUCCUGGGCUAAUUCCCCGUCAAGUGGAGUACCAAGGUUCUCCAAUUGUUCAAUGAAUCCUAUCAUCUUCAGUACAUGUUGAUGCACUGGAGCCCCCUUGACCAUCUUGGUCUUUACAAGUUCACAGACAGUGCUAAAGCGACGGUUGCGCGUCCCUUCACCAUAUAACUCCGUAAGAUGGAGUAUUAUGGAAGAUGCACUGUCCAUGCCCUCGUGCUGUCUCUGUAGCUCCUCAUUCAUGGAAGCCAACAGAUAGCACUUGGCUUGUGUAUCAUCCUCAACGUGCUUGUCAUACUUAGCACGUUCAUCCUCAGUGGCGUCAGGGCCAAGAGGUAUGUAAGGUGGAGCCUUGUCUAGUACGUAAACAAUCUUCUCCAAUGUUAGGAGAAUCUUGACAUUACGAUACCAUGAUGGGAAAUUGUGCCCCUCUAGGCAAUGUUUGUCGAGUAUUUUUUCGCGAGUGUGCUUCCAACCAUAUCUAUAUACAUAAACAAAUAAAAUAAUUAGAUUGAUUGUUGUUUAAGUCAAACGAUUUGGGUCUUUAAACCGAAUGACACCACCCACCAUUUUUUUUUGGCAAAUUCCAUAUCCCCCAUAAUGGAAUCCGGGAGAUUUCAAAGAAAGCUCCUAGCGGGUUAUGGGAGGCUCACUAUUACCAAGCCCACCUCACGAUGAUACGAUGUCGGCUAGCAACAAUAAUAAUGAGAGGGUACAAGUACCCAUUCACAACAACCUCUUGUGAUUACCCAUCUUUUUGGCCUCUAGAAAAUAAUACCUCACGAUGAUACGAUGUUGGCAUUAUGUUUCUUAGUUAAGUUCUUUCCCACCAUGCCGGUUUAGCUAGGGGUUAAAGCAUGACCUCACGAUGAUACGAUGUUGGCCAUACUCGUUGCCUACCUUAACCUCAUCAAAUGUUUUAAAUAAACUCCUCCUAAAUAUAAGCAUGCACUUUGUCACUUCCCCAUGAUAGGGUGAAGGCGGUGUACAAGUCAUAAACGCUUGGAGCCUACCACGGUGGAAGGCCACGAAAAAGUGUUCUAAGCACUUUUACGCUUACAACUUAAUAUUGUUUGGUUGAGGGAUUUUAAGGUCUCAUCAAUUUUAUUUAUUUAAUCAAAAUCAAAUAAAUUGUCCUAUUAUAACUACUAGUCCAAAGUUAAUGAAUUUAGUAGCAUAUAAUAUCCCCACUAUUCGUUUUCAUAAAACAAAUCAAUAUCAAAACAUUUUUCAAAAUAUUGGAGAUAUUAAUAUAACUACUAAUAGUAUUCAUUAUAGUCUAGUAGCGUAUGAUACUCCCACUAUUUGUUUUGAGAAAAACAAAUCAAUAUCAAAAACAAAUUUUUCAAAUAUUGGAAGUAACUACUACUACUAUGGUUUUUGCAUUCCUUUGAAAUUGGACUUUAUAGUUAUCUUAGGCUCUUGGAUGACUAUGGACUUAUUAGGUUAUUGCAACAACGAGCCAUCAUUGUUGAAUAUAAACUCGGGGAGGUUGUGUCAAUUUAAUUACGUGCUUAUCAAUCCAAUUAAAACCAUUUUAAUUGAGCCAUUAGAAAUGAAAGACAAUCAUACAUUGCUAAUUUGGGCAUUGGACCCUUUUAAUCUUUAAUCUCAUGUCAAAACCCUCUUUUAGUUAUGUCUCCUUACCAAUAGUUAAAGAAACUCUAGUCUAGCACUAGAGGGAAUCCACUAACGAAUAGAGAUUAAGAAGUAAUAAGAAUUACAAACCGAUUUGUACAAAUUCCUAUAAAUUACAUAUACUAAAAGGGGAGAGAAAGAUUAACGUCAAACGUGGCAAGGUCCAAUUAAACAGUAAUUAAAACACAUUCCCAAGGUUCAAACAAUUUGAUUUUAGCGCCUUGUCAUAUAACUCAAUUAUCGUUUAAGGCAUAAGUCCAAAGUCAUCCAUUUCAUAACUACUUAAACACAUUUAAAUAAUCAUGAUGGAAUACAACAUAAACAUUUAGAUUUAGUGCAUAUGGGCAUAAUAGUAUUAUGAGUUUAAACAACUAACAAAAUUAAAAUCAAAUAUUUUAACUUUCUAGUUAGUAGGGGCCUAAAUGUAAAUAUGAAAAGUUAGGGGUAAAACCGUAAAUAUUUCAAAGUAAAUAUCAACUUUUUAAAGAUUACAAAAUAGCCCCACAAGUGGAUAAAUCCACUAGGGAGGCCGGCCACAUUAAGGGGAUGGGAGUUCUCUUACACAAUCUUACACAACAUGCAUUAAAAGCCACCUUAUGUAAGAAAAAUUAAAUUUUGCUUGUCACUUGGUUUUGCCAUUAAAACUUAGGUGAGAUGGGUGAUGGAAAUCCUCCUAGUCAAGUCUAGGGUUUUAUAAGUUUGUUUUUAAUAUGGUUAUGGAUGGUAAGAACAUCAUCCAAAACCAUAAAACCAUGCAUGAAAACCAAUUAAAACUAUUUUCACCCAAAACCAAACCAUGAACACCAAGAACAAAACCAUGAACACAAUUUCAAGAUUUGUACAUUCUUGGUGAUUUUUCAAACCCAAAAACAAAAGUGACAAGAACACUACUUUUAAGCUUUAAUAGGAUGUGUGAGUGGUUUACAAUAAAACACAAACACAACCCAAAAAACCACCCCCAAAACCGUGCCUACCCUUUUGAACAAACCCCAAAUUUUGUUCAUGACUUAUUCUUCAUUCAUGCAUACAAAACAACUUUUACAUGCAUAUCUUUUUCAACUCUUGAUUUACAUUUUUCAACCAUUGAAAAACAAAAGACAAACAUACUUUUAAAUGAAGAAAUAAUAUGUCAAACUAGUUCUAAACUCAUUUUUCAUUCAUGUAUACAAAACACUUUUGCAAACAUAUCUUUCUCAACUUUUGACUAACAUUUUUUCAACUAUUGAAAAACAAAAGACAAACAUACUUUGAAUGAAACAAUAAAUAUGUCAUGCAUAACAUUAAUACCCAUAUGCAUAAAAUCCAAAAGGACACAUUAUACAUAAACCAUUGGCUCUGAUACCACUUGAAGGGAAAAUUAUGAGAUUCUAGAAUGGGAUUUCAUAAUGACUAUCAUGCAUAUACAAAUCAAAAUUUAAUAUACGAAAGCAGCGGAAGCAUUUAUAACAUAUUAUCAAAGCUAUAGUCAUGCAAAUCCCCUUCAAGGUUCAUAGGUUUAUAUAUAAUGCAUCAAAACAAUUUUUAGAAACAAGAACAAAGUGAAGGUUAGUCUUAUACCUCUUGAUCUAGACUUAAGACCAAGGAUGGACCACCUCCAAGGCCUUUGCUCCUUGAAAUCCUUGAGCCUAGCUUCCCUCCUUGCCUCCUCCACUUUGUUACAAUGAGUGCUCCUAGGUUCUCUUCAAGUUCCCAAAGUAGGAAAACCUCUAAAGAUCCUCACCCACUAGUGUAGUGAGAAGGAUGAAGGAAUAACCAAAAGGGUGUAAGAGAUGUUAGUAAAAACUCCCCUUUGGUGGCCGGCUUUUGUGGUUCAAGAGAGCUAUUUUCUUUUGCCUCUUUUGUUGUUCAAAACUCACAAAAACCCUAAUGAACAAUAUCUUAUAAAGUUGCUUAUAUAGACAAAAAGAAAAACCUAGUCAACACUUGACUAAAUAUCUCUCCAAAACCCACAUAAUAUGGCC
This 8256-nucleotide long non-coding RNA is filed under the name Malus domestica (apple). RNAcentral's name for it is "long non-coding RNA (MDOM_LNC000609)". Lineage: Eukaryota; Viridiplantae; Streptophyta; Magnoliopsida; Rosales; Rosaceae. The record is from RNAcentral.